CUGUCGCUGUCAGUCUUGCAAAACAAUGUAUUCUUAACAUGGUAUUUCACCAACGGCGUGAGUCGAAGGAUCUCCCCAGCCGGACCGGACCACCCAUCCACCAUGAUGUACGUGAUGAAGAAAGACGCCUUCUGAGGUAUGGAUAGUGCUAUCGUGUUCAGAAACCUGUUUGACAGCACAACCACAAUUCUUAGAGAGUGCACACACUGAAAAGGACCAUGAUUCCAUUUGUUGGUAACUCGUGUUUUAAGUCUACUACAACACAUGAGCAACAUCGUUAGAGAGGAUGUCAAGUUUAUGCCAGAACUUCGGAGAUUCUUAGCAUUAUUAGAACAUUCUGAAGAGAGUGCAGUUCAGUGUUUGCAAAGCUCUAUAAUUGAUAAUGGUGGCUGAACGUUGACCUUGACACAGAGUAAGAGAAGAGGGUGGGGUCGAAAUAAAACACACCCUAAAACUGACGAGGAUGUGACAAAAGUCUUCAGCUGCUGAAAUGCAGAUCCUGUUAGAAUACUUCCGAAGAAUAUGUUGACGACCACGAAAUAAUAGUACUUCGCAGCUGC
RNAcentral lists this long non-coding RNA (560 nucleotides) under Physcomitrium patens. Its description in RNAcentral is "long non-coding RNA (PPAT_LNC002876)". The record is from RNAcentral. Lineage: Eukaryota; Viridiplantae; Streptophyta; Bryopsida; Funariales; Funariaceae.